Molecule: long non-coding RNA, 2662 nt
Organism: Cavia porcellus (domestic guinea pig)
Lineage: Eukaryota; Metazoa; Chordata; Mammalia; Rodentia; Caviidae
Exons: 2
Source: RefSeq, a predicted model, not a curated record
GCCUCUUUCAAGGCCCUUACGUCUGAUCUCCUAAGAUUUCAACAAAGAAAUUUAGAGAGGACACAGCUCAGCCUGUGACAGGGGCCAUGGAGGCCGCAUGCAGAGUAGCAUCAAGCCAAGAGGAGCUGUUCUUAUCAUGGGAGCUUUAAUCCUUUGGAAAUCUUCAUGUUUUUAUAUAAUUUCAUGACUACAAAGGUAGAUGAUUUGUGUAUUCCUUAUGGCGGAUGGCCUGCAGAUGGCAGUAAAGCACUUCCUCUAACAUUACCAGCGUGUUAUUCUAACCAAUGGAAAGAGAGUAUCUUGAAACAGCAGCCUUUUGGCCUACACAAGCACCGUGCUUUUGGACUGGCCGGGCCCCAUGACUGUCCAGGGCCCUGGCUGUGACAGUGGCCAGCCAUCCUGACUGAGUCCAGGCAGGAUCAUUCGAAUGUCCUAAGUUUCAUCAGCUAAGUCAAAGGAAAUGUGUGACUCCAACAGCCCCGUAGCAUGGCAGGUCUGGGGGCUGCUGCUUCUCGGGCCCUUGGAAGGAGGGGGCUGCUUCAGCCACUGACACAACUAUUCUGCAAGACUGCCGAGCCUAUGGAGGGCCAGCCCUGCUCCAACUGUCUAGAGCAGCCUGGGCGCCUUUUGGUCAAAGCUGCCCCAUGAAGCUUCCGGGAUCUGUCUACCACCGCUGCUGGAGAUCUCAGACCAUUGCCUCUCUCACCGCCCUGUGGGUAGAAUCAUCUGGGUACUGGAUGCUUCUAGUUCAAGAGCCAGAAAGAGCAAAGGAAGGCAGGAAAAGACAAGAAAGAUGAGGGAGAGGAGUCAGCUGGCGUGGGGAGCCCUGUGCUGGGCAGCCUUUGAGCUCCUCCCGUGUUGCUGUCUCCUGACACAUGGGGCUGUGGCCUCGUCCCAGAGCCAGCACUGUUGGGUAUUUUGUGCCCAUAAUGGGAAACUGACAAAUACAGAAAAUUGCUACUGAGAAUGCAGUCGUUGCCAGGAUUGUACCUGACCACGUAGAAGCCUUUGAAACUGGUUUGUGGGGAGAGUUUGGAAAAGUUUGGAGAUGCAGGCUAGGGAAGCCCUAGCAGAGCUUGAUGGAUGACGAAGAAUGCAUCCCAGGCUCCUGAGGUCUCCGUUGGUAAGGAGGACUCUGUUGCAAACUGGACUGGAAGCCGUGCAUAUUUCAUUCUGGCAAAGUAUUUGACCAUAUCCUAAGACUAUGUGAACUUGAAUUUAAAUAUGGCAGAUUUUAAAAUUCUGGUAGAGGAGUUGGGGAUUUAGCUCAGCGGCAUAAGUGCCUGCCUUGUAAGCAGGCAGUUGUGAGUUUGAUCCCUGGUACCCAUAAAAAGGAAAAAGACAACAACAACAAAAAAAAUCUGGUAGAGGAAAUUUCAAAGCUGCUUUUAGCCAGAUCAACAGUGAAAAUCAAGAAAAGUUUGCAUUUUCAUCAGAAGGGAAGUACCUGCAGAGUUGGGACAAAGGAGAGCUUGGUUGCUGGAAAGAUCAGCAUUAAAAAGGAAGCAAAGUAUUUUGUACAGGGACUAGGUGCUUUAAGGCAUCUGAGAAAUCAGCAAGACUUCAGUAACUUCAUGCCUAAGGGUGUCAAACUGUAAAUAUUUAUUUUAAGAAGAGAGUUCCUGGGAUGCUUCCUCAUUCAAGGCUGCCUAGGAAAGUAUAUCCCUGAGUUCAGCCAACCAGAGACUCAGGAGCCACUGCAGCCAUGAUCCAAGGGGCCCAGCUACUGCACAAGCUGGCAGCUGACCUUGGUAUCAUUCACAGGGUGCUGGUUUUGCAGGCAUGCAGAAUAGAACAGUUAUGGAAUCACAAAGGCUUUCACCAGGUUUCAGAAAAAGACCUGAGAGACCGAGGAAAAAUAUGUGACAGGCUUGUAGUCCCGGACAAUAUGUGAAGCUGUGAGAGUGAAGCCAAAGGUGUACUGGAGACUCCUUGUGAAGAACAUAGAGUAUCUGCUGAGGAGAGCUGCAGGCCAUGAGCAAUGCUAGCUUGAGAGAAAGGGCAUGAUGGUCACAAGAAGUAAGACCACAGGGCCUGGCCUGGCCCCAGCUCUUUGGAAGUCCCAUCUCACCAAAACCUGACUUGUGGGCUGGACUGGAACUAUGGGGAUUGCUGGGUAUUGGCGUUGCCUGGGUCCAGUUCCGUUCUACCCCUAUUCCUUCCUUUUGGAAUGGAAAUGUUCACUCUGUGCCACUGUAUGUUGGAAGUACUUAACUGUUUUUGAAUUUUUUUUACAGGUGCUCACAGCUAGGAGUUUAUCUUGAGUCUCAGAAGAGACUUUGGACUUUUCAGCAGUGCUUGAACUGUUAAAGACUGCUGAUGCUUAGAGAUGGACUAAAUACAUUUUGCAUAAUGAGAUGGAUAUGAACCUUUUGGGGCCAGUGGUGAAAUGUUAUGAUUUAGCUCUAAAACAUUUCUCAAAAUUCUCAUGAUUGUAGGGGGAUCUUGGUUGGAAGUGGUGGAGCAUGACUUGGAAGUGGGUAUUCUCUUCCCAACUGUGUCUGUGACUCUGUCUGCAUCCUGGCUACUGUGGACUGAGCAGCUUUUUCCUGCUAUGCUAUUCCACUAAAUCUUUUGGCCAUAGAGUUUCUGCCUUGAAGCCAACCAAUCAUGCACUGUACCCACUGAAACUGUGAGCCAAAAUAAACUGCUCCUCCUUUCA